ACAUUUGAAGACGGUUUCACGCUCGGGUGCAUUCGCAUUUUGUGACUUAGAUAGCAGCCUAUAUAAUACCCUCACACCCUCCCGCCCUUUCUUCCUCCUCCUUCCUCCCAUCCACCCAAACAGUCCCCACGACAUCGACAACGAUUCAACCCGAGACUCGCCGGAAAAUGACGACGACGUACGGCACGAUUCCGACGUCAUCAGACCCAGGCGGCGCAAACCUAGACUACAUCGCACGCGCCAAGCAACAAAUAAAAGCCGGCCUCGGCACGCGACGACCGUGGCGGGAGAUGUUCAACCUCCGAUCCAUCGCCCUGCCGAGCGGCCCGAGCCGUUUCAAAGACGCACUCGCACGGAUCAAAACGAAUCUAGGCUACUUCCGCAUGAACUACGCCAUAAUCGUGCUCCUAAUCGUGUUUUUAAGCCUCUUGUGGCACCCGAUCUCUCUCAUCGUCUUUAUCGUCAUGAUGGCCGUGUGGCUGUUCCUGUACUUCCUCCGCGACGAGCCUCUGGUGGUCUUCAGGCGCACGAUCGGCGACCGGUGGGUCCUGAUCGUGCUGUCGGUGCUCACGAUUGUUUUCCUGCUGUUGACGCGCGCGACGGCGAACAUACUCGUGGCGCUGGCGAUUGGGGUGGUGGUCGUGGUGGUUCACGCGGCUUUUAGGAGGACUGAUGACUUGUUUUUGGACGAAGAGGCCGCCGGGAAAGCUGCUCUGUUCGCAGGUGUUGCUUCGUCGUCGUCGUAGCUCCGUGGCUCGAUCUAGGGUUUUCGUUUGGGGAAAAUCCAAAAGAGACCUGAUGUCAUAUGUGUUUCUAAAGGGGCUUGUGGAUGAUUACUGGGGAAGAGCAUGACGAAAUUCAUCUUCUCAAAAUUGGAAGUGAAUCCCAUCCCUUUCGCAGCUAUAUCUUUUGUCAAAUACAAGCUUGACCUUAACCGGACAUACAAACAAGGUGUGAUGGGCAUAGCAUGAGGGGCAGCAGGAGAUGGGCAAAGUGUUAUGCUCUUGAUGCCUUGACAGGAAACAAGAAGGAAAGACAAGCUGCUCUAAGUUUUCGUUGGGUUCCUUACCAUCCUGGAAAGUUCACGGUUCUCGCUCAGUGCUUGCAACAAAUGGAAAGGAAUAGACUAUGUCUUUCGAUUUUUCAGAAGUUCCCAAGAAAAGAGAGACCGCGUCUUUCAGUAUUGAACGCUUGUCGACAAUGUGCAAUGCAUUUUUAUUUGGAGAGAUGAAAUGCCCGUUGUCUCCACUCUCCAAAUAGUGGACUACUCCAUUCUCUAGCAGUGGCUAGACGAUGAUAUCUAGGUUUGUGGAGUCUAUAAGACUGUCGUGCUUUAUGAUCGAAAUUGGUCAUUUUAUCAAUUCAAGUGUCUAUAUCAUUUGUGAAGAAUUUAAUUUGAUCCAAUGAUCGUAUUCAAAUGCUUCGGUCACAAUUUUUAUGUACAAACUGUCAUAUAAUGGACUAUAGACAAGGCUCUUCCUUCUUGCUA
Rhododendron vialii is the source of this 1489-nucleotide RNA transcript. It is a transcript of the gene named PRA1 family protein F2-like, with no coding region annotated. The record is from RefSeq and is a predicted model, not a curated record. NCBI's taxonomy places the organism in Eukaryota, Viridiplantae, Streptophyta, Magnoliopsida, Ericales, Ericaceae. The transcript is spliced from 3 exons.